UUAAUUUUAUUUGAAAUUCUUAUUUCUACAACAGCUAGGUUUCAAAAUGAGGGAUGGCAAUAUUUCCGUGGAAGUCUUUAUUACGUCUCUACAACCACUGCAAACUGGCAGGCCAGUAGAAACUACUGUACUUCUAAGGGAGCAGACCUGGUGGUCAUCAAUGACGCUGCUGAAAACAAUUUCGCCAGAGGAUUUAAACGCAAGGCCUGGAUUGGACUGUACAAAUCAGGAUCCACAUGGAAAUGGGUGGAUGGACGUAUCCUGACAUCUAGUGUCAGCUAUUGGGGUCCAACAGAACCUAACAAUCUUAGAAACCGUGAAGAUCGUGUGGAAAUAGGGAUCUACAACAGCUUCAACAGCUGGAAUGAUGAACCAGGGACCACUAUUAACUACUGGAUCUGUGAAAAGAAAGUUGUUUAGUGAAAACACUGAGAACUUUCUGAUGCUUCAGUAACAUUAGCUUGAUAUUUGUUGAGGUUAAAACCUUGAUGCAGAUCAUCUGCUGUCCUUUCUGCUUCACUUUUCAGACAUAAUGAAAACAUUAAUCUGUGGGUAUAAUGGGGUUGAUUAAGGAAUUUAAUCUUUUACUGCUACUGCAUACUAUUCUGUGGCUCAAUAAAGCAUCGCAAAAUGAA
Oryzias latipes (Japanese medaka) is the source of this 635-nucleotide long non-coding RNA. RefSeq lists it as uncharacterized. The record is from RefSeq and is a predicted model, not a curated record. NCBI's taxonomy places the organism in Eukaryota, Metazoa, Chordata, Actinopteri, Beloniformes, Adrianichthyidae.